AGUGAACGCUGGCGGCAGGCCUAACACAUGCAAGUCGAACGGCAGCACGGCAGUAGCAAUACUGUGGGUGGCGAGUGGCGGACGGGUGAGGAAUACAUCGGGAUCUACCCUGUUGUGGGGGAUAACGUAGGGAAACUUACGCUAAUACCGCAUAAGAACUGAGGUUGAAAGCGGCGGACCGCAAGGCGUCGCGCGAUUGGAUGAACCGAUGUCCGAUUAGCUAGUUGGCGGGGUAAAGGCCCACCAAGGCGACGAUCGGUAGCUGGUCUGAGAGGACGACCAGCCACACUGGAACUGAGACACGGUCCAGACUCCUACGGGAGGCAGCAGUGGGGAAUAUUGGACAAAU
This 349-nucleotide ribosomal RNA is filed under the name uncultured bacterium. RNAcentral describes it as "bacterial SSU rRNA". It matches the Rfam family "Bacterial small subunit ribosomal RNA", at positions 29 to 373 of the family's 1533-position model. The record is from RNAcentral.